UACGUAGGGUGCAAGCGUUGUCCGGAAUUAUUGGGCGUAAAGAGCUCGUAGGCGGUUUGUCGCGUCGAAUGUGAAAACCCGGGGCUCAACCCCGGGCCUGCAUUCGAUACGGGCAGACUAGAGUUCGGUAGGGGAGACUGGAAUUCCUGGUGUAGCGGUGAAAUGCGCAGAUAUCAGGAGGAACACCGGUGGCGAAGGCGGCCAGCUGGGCCGUCCCUGACACUGAGGCGCGAAGGCGUGGGGAGCGAACGGG
Molecule: ribosomal RNA, 253 nt
Filed under: uncultured bacterium
Lineage: Bacteria
Description: partial 16S ribosomal RNA
Rfam family: Bacterial small subunit ribosomal RNA
Source: RNAcentral